GCGGGUGUAGCUCAAUGGUAGAGCGCCAGUUUUCCAAACUGGUGACGAGGGUUCGAUUCCCUUCACCCGCUCCA
This 74-nucleotide transfer RNA is filed under the name Candidatus Gottesmanbacteria bacterium RIFCSPHIGHO2_01_FULL_46_14. Its description in RNAcentral is "tRNA-Gly". It matches the Rfam family "tRNA". From Rfam's summary of the family: Transfer RNA (tRNA) molecules are approximately 80 nucleotides in length. The record is from RNAcentral. Lineage: Bacteria; Candidatus Gottesmaniibacteriota. RNAcentral also lists the same sequence under 4 other names.